RNAcentral lists this ribosomal RNA (253 nucleotides) under uncultured bacterium. RNAcentral describes it as "partial 16S ribosomal RNA". It matches the Rfam family "Bacterial small subunit ribosomal RNA", at positions 524 to 776 of the family's 1533-position model. The record is from RNAcentral.
UACGUAGGGGGCAAGCGUUGUCCGGAAUCAUUGGGCGUAAAGCGCGUGUAGGCGGCCAUCUAAGUCGGGCGUGAAAUCCCACGGCUCAACCGUGGAAGUGCACUCGAAACUGGAUGGCUAGAGUCCUGGAGAGGAAGGUGGAAUGCUUGGUGUAGAGGUGAAAUUCGUAGAUAUCGAGCGGAACACCGGUGGCGAAGGCGGCCUUCUGGACAGUGACUGACGCUGAGACGCGAAAGCGUGGGGAGCAAACAGG